UUGAUCCUGGCUCAGAAUCAACGCUGGCGGCGUGCCUAACACAUGCAAGUCGAACGCGAAAACCCCGCAAGGGGUUAGUAGAGUGGCAAACGGGUGAGUUACGCGUGGGUGACCUACCUCAGGGUGGGGGAUAACCUUCCGAAAGGAGGUCUAAUACCGCAUGACAUACCGUGUUUGGAUACACGGAUAUCAAAGCCGGUGAUCGCAAGACCUGGCGCUUGGAGAGGGGCCCGCGUCCGAUUAGCUAGUUGGUGAGGUCACGGCUCACCAAGGCAACGAUCGGUAUCCGGCCUGAGAGGUCGGACGGACACACUGGGACUGAGACACGGCCCAGACUCCUACGGGAGGCUGCAGUGGGGAAUUGUUCGCAAUGGGCGCAAGCCUGACGACGCAACGCCGUGUGGAGGAUGAAGACCUUCGGGUCGUAAACUCCUUUCGACCGAGAUGAAUUCUCGCCGGCCUAACAUGCCGGCGGGGUGACAGUAUCGAGGGAAGCAGCUCCGGCUAACUCCGUGCCAGCAGCCGCGGUAAUAAGGU
Molecule: ribosomal RNA, 537 nt
Filed under: uncultured Acidobacteriota bacterium
Lineage: Bacteria; Pseudomonadati; Acidobacteriota
Description: bacterial SSU rRNA
Rfam family: Bacterial small subunit ribosomal RNA
Source: RNAcentral